This 360-nucleotide ribosomal RNA is filed under the name uncultured bacterium. RNAcentral's name for it is "bacterial SSU rRNA". It matches the Rfam family "Bacterial small subunit ribosomal RNA", at positions 29 to 419 of the family's 1533-position model. The record is from RNAcentral.
AGCGAACGCUGGCGGCAGGCUUAACACAUGCAAGUCGAACGGAUCCUCCGGGAUUAGUGGCGGACGGGUGAGUAACACGUGGGAACGUGCCUUUUGGUUCGGAACAACACAGGGAAACUUGUGCUAAUACCGGAUGUGCCCUUCGGGGAAGGAUUAUCGCCAUUAGAGCGGCCCGCGUCUGAUUAGCUUGUUGGUGAGGUAAAGGCUCACCAAGGCUACGAUCAGUAGCUGGUCNGAGAGGAUGAUCAGCCACACUGGGACUGAGACACGGCCCAGACUCCUACGGGAGGCAGCAGUGGGGAAUCUUGCGCAAUGGGGGAACCCUGACGCAGCCAUGCCGCGUGAAUGAUGAAGGUCUUA